GCAACCAGAAAAAGGAAAGACUUCCGGAACCGACUUUCCGGGUCCUCCAGCUCCUGCCGGAGCCUGCCGGGUGACCCAGCAGGAAGAGGGACAAAGUACUUGAUCAAGUCGACUGGGGCCCGUCUCGCACUUCCUCGCUCAGACCUCGUAUCGAUGCCACACGGGCACGAUCGCGGAGGAAAUCCUCCUGGUGUCACGGCUGAGAGAUGGGCCAGGGCCGGGCAGCUCCUGGGGAAGUCCCAGGGUUUUCACCUUCUCCUUUCUUCUACCACUGAUGGCACAACAGCUAAUCUGGGCUCCCCCUUGGAGGGCAAAGGCCAUGCAACUUCUCUGCAACGACUCCAACAAUAUGAAGGCUUGGGAAGCUGAGAGGUAGCUGUUUAGAAAAGGAACAACAAAACCCAGGACAGGGACAGGAUCCGAACACCACAAACCUUCUUAAAUAAAAAAAAUUUUAAAAACCUGGAAAUUUCUAAAGCAGCCUGAGACUAACCGGCGUCUCCAUAAGGAUCCCUUCCCCGCCCGGACGUCAUGAAAACCAGCAGCCAGUGAGAAAGAAACCCGUCUCUCCAAUCCCUGGUCCUACGCCCCACCCCCCAGUCCCAAACCCAUGCCCCGGAAGAAGCUUCAGCAUCCCCCGGAACCCAGGCUCCCAGAAGGUUCUGGUCGGCAGCAAUCGCCCAGCUACGGAGAUCAGUCCUUUUGCCCCACCGGCCUCACCCGCCCAGGAGACGACGAGUCGGUUCUGAUCCUACAGAGCUCGGUGUUCGGUAGUGGGACAGACGCUGCCUCCCUGCUGGCUGGGACUCUCAUCACUCCAGGGCCAACCGCGGGGGAGCCAGAGGGAGGGCAGAGCAUGCGGUCACAUCUUCACGGUCUGACGUCAAUGAUGGCCGCCAGGCCCAUCUGGAAGAGCCGUGGUGUCCUGGCUGGGCUCCUGGAGGCCAAAAGGCGAAUCCAGGCCCAUGGGAAAUCUCAGUAGAUGUCUCUGAAGAGAUGCAUAGAAACUUGGCUGUGUCUCUGUGCCCAGGGACUGACUCUGUCUGUGCAAGAACCUUCCCAGGCCCAUCUCAGAAAGAGGUGAAUGAGAAACCAGACCAGCUCCGCAUCAUCACCAGCCCGGGGGGCCCAGUCUGCCUGCUGCGCCCUGCCCUGCCCAGCGCCACGGUCCAGGACCGGGAAGAGUCCCCGUGUGUCCGUGCACCAAGCAAAGCAGGCCGCAGGCGCUGGGGCUUUGCUGGCGGUUUAUUCUUCCAGGGUAUCCCCCUCCCUGGACACCAGGAGAGGCCAGGGCCGCUACGGGGAGAGCACGACCCAGAGGCCCAAGCCUCCACUGGCCCCCAGCUUGGAAGUGCUGCUAGCCACUCACAGGUGUCCCUCGGCGAGAAUCACGUGCAGGGCAGGAGACCCGUAAGGAGGACGCUUGGCCAGAUGCAUAGCGGGCAGAAGGGGCAGGCCAGGCUCUGCCCGGAGCCCCACGUGCCUCCCACGCUCCCACGCAGCCAAUGAGAGGCCAGAGGAACGAGGAGAAGGGAGGUGAAAACAAGGGCGAGCUGCCUGGGACGGGUGCCAGGUGUCAGCACUCCACAAACCCAAUUCACUUUCUGCUCAACAGACC
Long non-coding RNA from Leopardus geoffroyi (Geoffroy's cat), 1618 nucleotides. RefSeq lists it as uncharacterized. NCBI's taxonomy places the organism in Eukaryota, Metazoa, Chordata, Mammalia, Carnivora, Felidae. The record is from RefSeq and is a predicted model, not a curated record. The transcript has 3 exons.